CAAAUAAAGAGGGAGAGGUGGAACAUACAGGAGAGAGAAGAAAUGACCAGUGCAGUGAGGUUCCAGAGCUGGGGACAGGAGGACGAGCAGAGACCAAGCCAGUGGAGGAAGCAUUGACUGGUCCUAUGAUUAUGGCAUCAAGUACUCAUUUGCCUUUGAACUGAGAGACACAGGGCGCUACGGCUUCCUCUUGCCAGCCCGUCAGAUCCUGCCCACAGCCGAGGAGACCUGGCUUGGCUUGAAGGCAAUCAUGGAGCAUGUGCGAGACCACCCCUAUUAGGGCCCUGGGGAAGAAACAAGAGCCAUUAAAAUCUCUUUGGUUUGAAGCAAA
Molecule: long non-coding RNA, 331 nt
Filed under: Homo sapiens (human)
Lineage: Eukaryota; Metazoa; Chordata; Mammalia; Primates; Hominidae
Description: HSALNT0343323
Source: RNAcentral